CAGCCGCGGUAAUACGAAGGGUGCAAGCGUUACUCGGAAUUACUGGGCGUAAAGCGCGUGCAGGUGGCUCAUUACGCCCGGCGUGAAAGCCCCCGGCUCAACCGGGGAGGGUCGUCGGGGACGGAUGGGCUUGAGGGUCGCAGGGGCUGGUGGAAUUCCCGGUGUAGUGGUGAAAUGCGUAGAGAUCGGGAGGAACACCCGUGGCGAAGGCGGCCAGCUGGGCGACACCUGACACUGAGACGCGAAGGCGUGGGGAGCGAAC
RNAcentral lists this ribosomal RNA (262 nucleotides) under uncultured bacterium. Its description in RNAcentral is "partial 16S ribosomal RNA". It matches the Rfam family "Bacterial small subunit ribosomal RNA", at positions 512 to 773 of the family's 1533-position model. The record is from RNAcentral.